Schistocerca gregaria is the source of this 334-nucleotide long non-coding RNA. RefSeq lists it as uncharacterized. The record is from RefSeq and is a predicted model, not a curated record. NCBI's taxonomy places the organism in Eukaryota, Metazoa, Arthropoda, Insecta, Orthoptera, Acrididae. The transcript has 4 exons.
GAGGGCGCUACUGUCACGUUAGCUGGCUCACUCUUACCGGCGACGCGGAACGCUGUGGAAAGGAAAGCGCUCGUUCUCCAAAUAUUGGUUGAAUUAGAAUAUUAGCUAGAAGCUGAAAGUCGCCAGAAAGCUGAGGGGGUUGUUCUAUCAUCCUCAUUAGAGCGGCAUCUAAACGACACUGUGUGGCUGUUGGAGGCAGAAAUACAGCAAUAACAUGCUGCUAUGGAGCAAGAGGAGGAUGAGAAUCUAGCAGGAGUAUGCACCAAAAAUAACAACUAGGACUUAUCACUUCCAUCUGGUAUGAACUUAUUUUUUUCAUAGGUACGUAUAGUCA